RNAcentral lists this long non-coding RNA (435 nucleotides) under Vitis vinifera (wine grape). RNAcentral's name for it is "long non-coding RNA (VVIN_LNC002641)". The record is from RNAcentral. Lineage: Eukaryota; Viridiplantae; Streptophyta; Magnoliopsida; Vitales; Vitaceae.
AUUGAUCAAAUGCUUUCACCUCAAAGCGAAGACCACCCACUGGAUAAUCCUUCAAGCACCGGUGUCAUAACUGCAGAACAGGAGCUCUUAGGAGAGAAUCAGGUUGAAGGGAGGGAACUGAGCAUCUCAGCUUCCAACAGUUCUGCUGAAGAUGGGUCCAGAGAAUUUGACAAAAUAAAAGCGAAUCAUGAUAAGAAAGAGGAUCCAGAAGAAGCGUGGGUUAAAGCAGAUAAUAUCACAACCCCAAAAGAAGAGAAAACAGUAUCAAAGGUGGGGAGCAAAUCUAACCAGCCAGUGUCCAAGAACUGGAGCAACCUGAAAAAACUAAUCCUCCUCAAGAGAUUCGUCAAGUCGUUGGAAAAAGUGAAGAAAUUCAACCCACGGGGGCCACGAUUCUUACCGUUGAAGCCUGACCCAGAAGCAGAAAAAAUUUGC